RNAcentral lists this ribosomal RNA (383 nucleotides) under uncultured bacterium. Its description in RNAcentral is "bacterial SSU rRNA". It matches the Rfam family "Bacterial small subunit ribosomal RNA", at positions 29 to 400 of the family's 1533-position model. The record is from RNAcentral.
AACGAACGCUGGCGGCGCGCCUAAUACAUGCAAGUCGAACGAGAAGGUGUAGCAAUACACUUGUACAGUGGCGAACGGGUGAGGAAUGCAUGGGCAACCUACCCUCGAGUGGGGAAUAACCAGCCGAAAGGUUGGCUAAUACCGCGUACGCUUCCGGGUCUCCGGAUCCGGAAGGAAAGUCACACCGUGGGUGUGACGCUCAAGGAUGGGCUCAUGUCCUAUCAGCUUGUUGGNGAGGUAACGGCUCACCAAGGCAACGACGGGUAGCUGGUCUGAGAGGACGAUCAGCCACACUGGCACUGCGACACGGGCCAGACUCCUACGGGAGGCAGCAGUAAGGAAUAUUGCGCAAGUGGGACGAAAGCCUGACGCAGCGACGCCGC